GUGCUCCUCCAGCGCUGACCACUGGCCCGCUCGCAUCAAUUCCGCCGGUGUUACUCCCCUUCGACGCCUCCCUGCGCGACGUGACGCGGGCGGAGCUGCGGUUCCAUCGCCGCCCACCGAGAACAUUGAGUUGCGCAACCGAAUCAGAUUGUGUGCACUCCAUCGCUCUGCUCAUGGCCCUCCUCGCGCCGGAAGCAGUCAUCCCCGCCGCGGCGCUCGAUCUGAAAAAGAGUUCGCAUUCCGGCAGGAGGAGCUCGGCAAGGAGAAGCGGUGGGACGGUAGACAUCCACGAGCGCCGCCUGUUCCUCUUCUACAAGGGCCUGUACGUGGCGCGUAGGUGGGCGCGUGUGUGCCACGUAUGGGUGUCUAGGCUCAAGCCAGAGGCCGGUCUGUGGCCGCGCCCAGUUGAGCGGGAGCAGCAGGGAUCCAGUCAAUCUUUUGGAGCUGGCUGUUAGUGCGUGUAGUGGUGCGCACUAUGUGCGCGGCCAUGCAGAUCAUGCAUGCGGGCGUAGUGGGAGUGCGUGGGCAGGAGUGAAGCGCGGUGUGCGUGCCUGCUCUGUCUAUAUAACCAUACCGUGUACUGCUUGUAUGACUGAGCCGAGUGGAAUACAAGAGAGAAAAAGGCGUUCGUCACCGGCGGGGCAUCCGUCGCCGCAGGCGUUUGUCGCCGGGCAAAUGUCUCCUCGUAUUCUUGUCUGAUCGUCCGUCGAUCCUCGAUUCCAACAUUUGGUAUCAUGAGCUGAUACAUCUCGGGUGUCGUUCUUCUUGCCGGAGGUGUGCCGACGGUGGCGGAGUUCGCCAGCGGCUGCGCGAUGCUCCAGGCCGUGUGUCGGCCCAUGGAGGUGGGCGGCGCUGUGGCUGUCAUGGCGCGUGGCGGAGGCGGCGGGCGGUGACGUCGUACGUGCGGCGAUCGCGGAGGCCGCCGAGGCGCUGCAUGGUGACGCGGCGGCGCAGCACGGUGUGGCGGCGUGGAGGCCCUGCAUGGCGGCAUGAAGGCCGCGGCGGUACAGGGCAAUAAGCCGCGGCGGUGAGCCGGACGCGACCGGUGCGUGUUAUGGGUGCGCACUGGGCGCGUCGGGACCGCGGGCGCGCGUACGAGCGUGCGGUUGACGUUGGGAGGAGGCGUAUGUCGCCGUUGUGCUCGAGUUCGGCUACAUCCUUCCGGCGUUUGUUGCUGUCGGCUGCCAUGGCGGACGCGGUGAGCGGCUGGUGCGGUCGGGCUCGUCGGGCGCGUCGGAUGCGCGCGGGACGUGCAGGACGCACUGGUGUGGUCGGGCUCGUCCGGCGCGUCAGGUGCGCGGGACGUGCGGGACACACUGGGACGGUCGGGCGCGUCGGGUGCGCGCGCGACGUGCAAGGCGCCAAGGGACGUCAGGCGUGUGUGGCCGGUGGAGGAGGAGCUCGGUGUGUGUCGCCGGAGUCGUGAUGGAGCACGGUGCGACCGGCGUCGUUGCGCCAGGUCAGGUCCGCGGGCUGGGUCACGCUCGUGACGACGACAACGACGGGAGCUGCAACAACUUCGACGAUGGCGAAGUCAUGACUUAGGAGGAGAGGGUUGGCAAUAAGCCAUUUGUGUGUACGUGGCGCGUAGGUGGGCGCGUGUGUGCCACGUAUGGGUGUUAGGCUCAAGCCGAAGGCCGGUCUGUGGCCGCGCCCAGUUGAGCGGGAGCAGCAGGGAUCCAGUCAAUCUUUUGGAGCUGGCUGUUAGUGCGUGUAGUGGUGCGCACUAUGCGCGCGGCCAUGCAGAUCAUGCAUGCGGGGGGAGUGGGCGUGCGUGGGCAGGAGUGAAGCGCGGCCUGCGUGCCUGCUCUGUCUAUAUAACCAUACCGUGUACUGCUUGUAUGACUGAGUCGAGUGGAAUACAAGAGAGAAAAAGCGUUCGUCGCCGGCGGGGCAUUCGUCGCCGCGGGCGUUUGUCGCCGGGCAAAUGGUCUCCUCGUGUUCUUGUCUGAUCGUCCGUCCAUCCUCAGUUCCAACACAGGAGCGGCAAAGCUCAGCCUGCCGGUCGCUGCUAGGGGUUGACGUUUCUAUCACUAUUGUCUCAGUUGGUGGAACAGUACAUCUAGCAUCGUAGAUUUUCUCUUUAGUGGUAGAUGUGACAUCAGUCUCGCCACCCCACAUCCUAAGCAAGUCCCAGGCCCGACGAGUCCUAGUGUGCUUCCGGUAAUUAUGUGUUCCUCUUCAGUGUGUGUUCCUUCUCCAUCCUUAUAUUGCAUUAACAUAUUGAAGUCAAGUUGCAUGUAUAUUCUGCGUGUUCCAUGUGGUAGAUGCAUGUCCGCUAGCCUAGCAUCAUCGUCAGGUUUCCUUGGUUGUUUAAUGGAUUAAGUUCCAUGGUAUAAUAAAAGUCAAUUUCGCUUGUAUGAUGAGCUGCUAUUUUAUCUCAUUGUGUUUUGCCUCAGUGUCUCACCGGAACAACUUUGUUUAAGUAAAUUCUCUUCUUGACCUUACA
Molecule: long non-coding RNA, 2449 nt
Organism: Triticum aestivum (bread wheat)
Lineage: Eukaryota; Viridiplantae; Streptophyta; Magnoliopsida; Poales; Poaceae
Exons: 2
Source: RefSeq, a predicted model, not a curated record